CUCCACGUCCAGGGCCAGCUUGGCAUUCAUCAGCGCCUGGUACGCACAAAGCAGCAGGGCCAGGUCCUCUUUGGCACUCAGCACCUCCUUCUUCCCUUGCCAGCUCACUGGAGGGAGGGCCAGUUCAAAGUAAAGUGGAAGAGAAUGAACUCGGUGGAGAGAGAGAGAAGCAAAACACACCAUAAAUUCACACCAACACACACACACACACACACACACACACACACAAACAGACAUCACAGAACCACAGGCAU
Molecule: long non-coding RNA, 254 nt
Filed under: Homo sapiens (human)
Lineage: Eukaryota; Metazoa; Chordata; Mammalia; Primates; Hominidae
Description: non-protein coding lnc-KRT18-6:1
Source: RNAcentral